UUGAAUUUUCGGGGUUAGUAGGUUGGUCAUGCCUCUGGUAUGUACUGGUCUCACUGAUUCCUCCUUCCUGAUGAACCGUAAUGCCAUUAAUUUGGUGUUUUCGGGGAUUUUGGACUGUUACUUUGAAAAAUUUAGAGUGUUUAAAGCAAGCUAACGCUUGAAUACAUUAGCAUGGAAUAAUGAAAUAGGACGUUCGAUCCUAUUUUGUUGGUUUCUAGGAUUGACGUAAUGAUUAAUAGGGAUAGUUGGGGGCAUUAGUAUUCAAUUGUCAGAGGUGAAAUUCUUGGAUUUAUUGAAGACUAACUACUGCGAAAGCAUUUGCCAAGGAUGUUUUCAUUAAUCAAGAACGAAAGUUAGGGGAUCGAAGACGAUCAGAUACCGUCGUAGUCUUAACCAUAAACUAUGCCGACUAGGGAUCGGAUGAUGUUAAUUUUUAAUGACUC
RNAcentral lists this ribosomal RNA (443 nucleotides) under fungal sp. Its description in RNAcentral is "SSU rRNA". It matches the Rfam family "Eukaryotic small subunit ribosomal RNA", at positions 634 to 1077 of the family's 1831-position model. The record is from RNAcentral. Lineage: Eukaryota; Fungi.